RNAcentral lists this ribosomal RNA (464 nucleotides) under uncultured bacterium. RNAcentral's name for it is "bacterial SSU rRNA". It matches the Rfam family "Bacterial small subunit ribosomal RNA", at positions 355 to 823 of the family's 1533-position model. The record is from RNAcentral.
UGGGGAAUAUUGCGCAAUGGACGAAAGUCUGACGCAGCGACGCCGCGUGUGGGAUGACGGUCUUCGGAUUGUAAACCACUGUCGGGAGGGACGAAUACGCCGCAAGGCGGGUGACGGUACCUCCAAAGGAAGCACCGGCUAACUCCGUGCCAGCAGCCGCGGUAAUACGGAGGGUGCGAGCGUUGUCCGGAAUCACUGGGCGUAAAGGGCGCGUAGGCGGCCUGAUAAGUAGGGGGUGAAAUCCUGCGGCUUAACCGCAGGGCUGCCUUCUAAACUGUCGGGCUCGAGCACAGUAGAGGCAGGUGGAAUUCCCGGUGUAGCGGUGGAAUGCGUAGAGAUCGGGAAGAACAUCAGUGGCGAAGGCGGCCUGCUGGGCUGUGCUGACGCUGAGGCGCGACAGCGUGGGGAGCAAACAGGAUUAGAUACCCUGGUAGUCCACGCCGUAAACGAUGGGCACUAGGCGU